GCUGGAAUUGCUAGUAAUGGCAGGUCAGCAUACUGCCGUGAAUACGUUCCCGGGCCCUUGUACACACCGCCCGUCACACCAUGAGAGUUGGAAAUACCCCGAAGCCUGUGAGCUAACUUAAAGAGGCAGCAGUCGAAGGUAGAGCCAAUGAUUGGGGUGAAGUCGUAACAAGGUAAC
This 177-nucleotide ribosomal RNA is filed under the name uncultured bacterium. RNAcentral describes it as "partial 16S ribosomal RNA". It matches the Rfam family "Bacterial small subunit ribosomal RNA", at positions 1325 to 1500 of the family's 1533-position model. The record is from RNAcentral.